CGGGAUGUAGCGCAGCCCGGUAGCGCGCUUCGUUCGGGACGAAGAGGUCGCGAGUUCGAAUCUCGCCAUCCCGACAA
RNAcentral lists this transfer RNA (77 nucleotides) under Bacteroidetes bacterium 4484_276. RNAcentral's name for it is "tRNA-Pro". It matches the Rfam family "tRNA". From Rfam's summary of the family: Transfer RNA (tRNA) molecules are approximately 80 nucleotides in length. Their secondary structure includes four short double-helical elements and three loops (D, anti-codon, and T loops). Further hydrogen bonds mediate the characteristic L-shaped molecular structure. tRNAs have two regions of fundamental functional importance: the anti-codon, which is responsible for specific mRNA codon recognition, and the 3' end, to which the tRNAs corresponding amino acid is attached (by aminoacyl-tRNA synthetases). tRNAs cope with the degeneracy of the genetic code in two manners: having more than one tRNA (with a specific anti-codon) for a particular amino acid; and 'wobble' base-pairing, i.e. permitting non-standard base-pairing at the 3rd anti-codon position. The record is from RNAcentral. Lineage: Bacteria; Pseudomonadati; Bacteroidota.